This 1425-nucleotide ribosomal RNA is filed under the name Mammaliicoccus sciuri. Its description in RNAcentral is "bacterial SSU rRNA". It matches the Rfam family "Bacterial small subunit ribosomal RNA". The record is from RNAcentral. Lineage: Bacteria; Bacillati; Bacillota; Bacilli; Caryophanales; Staphylococcaceae.
UGCAAGUCGAGCGAACAGAUGAGAAGCUUGCUUCUCUGAUGUUAGCGGCGGACGGGUGAGUAACACGUGGGUAACCUACCUAUAAGACUGGGAUAACUCCGGGAAACCGGGGCUAAUACCGGAUAAUAUUUUGAACCGCAUGGUUCAAUAGUGAAAGACGGUUUCGGCUGUCACUUAUAGAUGGACCCGCGCCGUAUUAGCUAGUUGGUAAGGUAACGGCUUACCAAGGCGACGAUACGUAGCCGACCUGAGAGGGUGAUCGGCCACACUGGAACUGAGACACGGUCCAGACUCCUACGGGAGGCAGCAGUAGGGAAUCUUCCGCAAUGGGCGAAAGCCUGACGGAGCAACGCCGCGUGAGUGAUGAAGGUCUUCGGAUCGUAAAACUCUGUUGUUAGGGAAGAACAAAUUUGUUAGUAACUGAACAAGUCUUGACGGUACCUAACCAGAAAGCCACGGCUAACUACGUGCCAGCAGCCGCGGUAAUACGUAGGUGGCAAGCGUUAUCCGGAAUUAUUGGGCGUAAAGCGCGCGUAGGCGGUUUCUUAAGUCUGAUGUGAAAGCCCACGGCUCAACCGUGGAGGGUCAUUGGAAACUGGGAAACUUGAGUGCAGAAGAGGAGAGUGGAAUUCCAUGUGUAGCGGUGAAAUGCGCAGAGAUAUGGAGGAACACCAGUGGCGAAGGCGGCUCUCUGGUCUGUAACUGACGCUGAUGUGCGAAAGCGUGGGGAUCAAACAGGAUUAGAUACCCUGGUAGUCCACGCCGUAAACGAUGAGUGCUAAGUGUUAGGGGGUUUCCGCCCCUUAGUGCUGCAGCUAACGCAUUAAGCACUCCGCCUGGGGAGUACGACCGCAAGGUUGAAACUCAAAGGAAUUGACGGGGACCCGCACAAGCGGUGGAGCAUGUGGUUUAAUUCGAAGCAACGCGAAGAACCUUACCAAAUCUUGACAUCCUUUGACCGCUCUAGAGAUAGAGUCUUCCCCUUCGGGGGACAAAGUGACAGGUGGUGCAUGGUUGUCGUCAGCUCGUGUCGUGAGAUGUUGGGUUAAGUCCCGCAACGAGCGCAACCCUUAAGCUUAGUUGCCAUCAUUAAGUUGGGCACUCUAGGUUGACUGCCGGUGACAAACCGGAGGAAGGUGGGGAUGACGUCAAAUCAUCAUGCCCCUUAUGAUUUGGGCUACACACGUGCUACAAUGGAUAAUACAAAGGGCAGCGAAUCCGCGAGGCCAAGCAAAUCCCAUAAAAUUAUUCUCAGUUCGGAUUGUAGUCUGCAACUCGACUACAUGAAGCUGGAAUCGCUAGUAAUCGUAGAUCAGCAUGCUACGGUGAAUACGUUCCCGGGUCUUGUACACACCGCCCGUCACACCACGAGAGUUUGUAACACCCGAAGCCGGUGGAGUAACCUUUUAGGAGCUAGCCGUCGAA